Amblyraja radiata (thorny skate) is the source of this 125-nucleotide long non-coding RNA. RefSeq lists it as uncharacterized. The transcript has 3 exons. The record is from RefSeq and is a predicted model, not a curated record. NCBI's taxonomy places the organism in Eukaryota, Metazoa, Chordata, Chondrichthyes, Rajiformes, Rajidae.
UUAAGAAACAUUUGGAGAGGUACAUGGUUAGGGCAGGUUUAGAGGGAUAUGGGCCAAACGCAGGCAGGUGGGACUAGUGUAGAUGGGGUUUAUUGGUCUGUAUGGGCAAAUUAAGCCAAAUGGCC